CAAGUCAGAUGUGAAAGCCUUCUGUUCAACGGGAGAAUUGCAUCUGAAACUGCUAAUCUUGAGUAUAGGAUGGGAGAAUGGAACUUCUGGUGGAGCGGUGAAAUGCGUAGAUAUCAGAAGGAACGCCGGCGGCGAAAGCGAUUCUCUGGCCUAUUACUGACACUCAGUGUGCGAAAGCUAGGGGAGCAAACGGGAUUAGAUACCCCGGUAGUCCUAGCCGUAAACGAUGGGCACUAAGUAGAGGGGAUUACCUAUGUUCUCUCUGCCGUAGCUAACGCAUUAAGUGCCCCGCCUGGGGAGUACGGCCGCAAGGCUAAAACUCAAAAGAAUUGACGGGGGCUCGCACAAGCGGUGGAGCAUGUGGCUUAAUUCGAUGCAACGCGAAAAACCUUACCGGGGCUUGACAUGAUAGAAGUAGGAACCUGAAAGGGGGACGAACGGUAUCCAGUCCGUAGCUAUUACAGGUGUUGCAUGGCUGUCGUCAGCUCGUGUCGUGAGACGUUGGGUUAAGUCCCCUAACGAGCGAAACCCUUGUUUUUAGUUACCAGCGGGUUAUGCCGGGUACUCUAGAAAGACUGCCGUCGUCAAGACGGAGGAAGGUGGGGAUGACGUCAAGUCAUCAUGGCCCUUAUGCCCCGGGCUGCACACGUGCUACAAUGGUCGGUACAGACGGAAGCGAA
This 680-nucleotide ribosomal RNA is filed under the name uncultured bacterium. RNAcentral describes it as "bacterial SSU rRNA". It matches the Rfam family "Bacterial small subunit ribosomal RNA", at positions 584 to 1253 of the family's 1533-position model. The record is from RNAcentral.